AUCCAGGCCGCCCUACGUAACUGCAUCCAAAGACACCCCAGCCGCCACUGCAAUCCCUUCAUCUCCAUUUUUCUAAAAAUUAGGCGGGUGCUUUCAAUUGUGGACCGAUGGCGAGGGCAAGAGAUUAAAAAAUAUGGUCUGAAAAAAAUCACUGUCUGAACAAAAAAAAUAGAGUGAUGGAAAGAGAUUAUCAAAUAGUAAUGUUAUAUAAACUAACUUUUAAAUUAAAUUGGUAUAUUAUAUAAGGAAAACUAAUGAAAAGGGUUUGAAAACUUUGAGUUUUAAUGAUAAGGACAAAAUAAAGGGAAAAGUGAAUAGUACUAGGAUUGACUUUUUAGUGUAAAAAUAUGGUUUUUCGUUAAAGUGAACAGUACCGGGAGUUUUUCGUUAAAAUUUCCUAUUAUAUAAUGUGUGACUAAUAGAAAAUAAGCACCAUAUCAUCUUAUUAACGUUUUUUUUUUCUCAUCAAGUUAGACAUUUUCCACUUACCAUGCAGAGAAAAACUUGUUUGGGGCGUAACAUGCCACUAGAGUGGCGCUAGCAACCACUUAAAAGUUGUCAUGUGGUAAGCUAUGAUUAUAAUGUUGUAACCUUAAUUAGACUUAACUAAUUAUCAAGAUUAUGUAGUGGCGCCCAGCUGUCUGUUUAGAGAGAGAGAGAGUGUGUGUAUAGUGGAUUUGGAUCCUCUCCUAAGCAGGAGAUCAAGAUCCUUAGGAUCAAACAAUAUGGAUCGUUGGAUUUUGAUCUAACGAUUAUAAACAGAGAAUUCUUCUAAAAUUAUAAUAAUUAUAGCCGUUGGAUUAAAAUUUAACAGCCUAUGUUGUUUGAUCCCGAGGAUCCUGAUCUCUUGCUCAUGAGAGGAUCCAAAUCCGUGUGUAGUACCUCCCUGCCCUCCUCCAGUGUGUGUGUGGUACCUCCCUGCCCUCCUCCAGUCCUCCCUGUCCACAGAGAGAGAGAGAGAGAGAGAGAGAGAGAGAGAAAGAGUGUGCAGAGUACCUCCCUGACGUCCUCCAUUCCUCUUGGUCCUUUUAUUUUGUCUUUUAUUUUUUUGCCUGUGUUUUUUAGAGGUGCUAAGCAACAAAUAACUAUGCAUGCAGGUAGCCAUACCUGCGUAAAAGUCAAGAGCAGUAGCAUUUUUGUAGAUAAAAUAUUCACUUAUAUAAUAUAUGUAUGAUAUAUAUCUAAAUAAUAUAUAUAU
Molecule: long non-coding RNA, 1198 nt
Filed under: Malus domestica (apple)
Lineage: Eukaryota; Viridiplantae; Streptophyta; Magnoliopsida; Rosales; Rosaceae
Description: long non-coding RNA (MDOM_LNC016149)
Source: RNAcentral